ACUUGAUGCUGUGCUCAUCUAAGGCCCCAAACCUCCAUUUCCCCAUUGCUAAAAUGGGGAUCUUGCCAGGGGGCUGCGAGAAUCGAAGGGGACAGCGGCAGAGAGCUCCAGGCUUGCCAGGGCGCCCAACAGGUCUCUCUGCAGACAAGCAUAAUGAAAAGCUGGAGGCCUCGCCUGUGGGGUUCUGUCCUCUGGGCCACAUGCAGCUAUGCCAAGCAGGGAUGAUGUGGGAGAGAAGAAAGGGAAGAAAUAGACUAUGCAGCACUUAAACCCCCAGCUCGCUCCUGGCUUGAUGCAGUGGGCUGUUCUCAGUAUAGACAGGGACUCUGGGACACUUGAUGGGCUGCUGCUGCUGUCAAUUCCUGCAGGGAUUUCACGAGCUGGAAGAACACAAGCCUGCAGCAAAGAAUCCCAUGCGAGUGGGAUUCUCAGGCGACUCUGCCUCCCCAGGAUGAUUUGGGAGAACAGGUCCGGGCUGCUUCAAAUGGUGGCCAGUCAGAGACAUGAAGUGGCUCCUCUCUACAGGGACAUCAGAGCUGAGAUCAGGGCAGCCCCAGGAUUCGAGAGAAGGGCAUCCUGGCAGCUCAGGCCCUGUGGCAAUGACCGUCGCGCUUAACCCUCCUAUGCAAUCAACUCAAACCCAGAACUCAAUAGCAACAACACUAUUUGCUUUCUGGACAGCCUCUUAAGAGGCUCUAAAUCAGUAGGUCUCCCACAAUUGAGCUGUGCAGCUUUUGAUAAAGGAAAUGACUUUUCUGAGCAUUGAUUUCUUCAUCAGUAAAGUGAAAAUAGCUUCACCCAUCUCUCCAAUAUUGGGAGAAUAAUGUAAAAUGCUGACCACCACUUCUGGCACAUUUGGUAAGUGCUCUAUCAAUGACAGCUGAUGCUCUUUUUUCCUCCUCCCCUCCAUUUCUUCUCGACUAAAGCUUUUGUCAAAGGUUAAUGUCUCCCCCAGAGGUGUGGGUUGUCACUGAUCUUGCUUCAACACUGGAAAAUCAAGGCCUCAUCACUGCUUACCCAGGGUCAAACAUCCAUGGUCAAGAUCAGGAUCCCAAGAAAUCUCAAAGCUCUACCCUGCACCCAGACCUCUUGGGCUUACAAUGCACCCUUUUCAAUGCCCAUAUUCUCUGCAGCAAAGAAACAAUGUGUGGACUCAGUUGUGCCCCCACGCUCCCUGUCCGCAGCUGCCCUUGCAGUGUCCUGCUGCUGGCUGUGGCCAGCUGACCCGUUGGGCUCUCCUCCUGACCCUCCUUCCAUCUGUUCCAUCCUCACCCACCCAAGGAGCCGCCCCUGCUCCUAGAGACUCUGGGCACCACUGAUAAGGGUGGGUACCAGGAACUCCACCCUUUACCGAGAAAGGCAGGCUGGUUUAUCGCCACUCAGACCCAGCCAGCGACCACCCUGGGGAGUGUGUCAGCCACCAGGAGCAUCGCUGUUGGGGAAAUGUUAUUAACUAGGAAGGAACUUUACAGAAUGUUCCACACAAAUGUCACAUUGAAUUCAAUCAGAAAUCCAGCCUGACCCCCCCUAAACCUGGUCAUUCCUUCUUAACCUUAAUGGCAGUGACAGAAGAAAGGGAGAGAGGAAUGGAGUCUUGGUUGUUUUUCUAUUUAACUUUGUGUAGGGAGUGCCCAGUGGUCAAUUAAGGUGUCCUGGGCACCCGGCCUGGCUGGAGUAAGGGAUGGCAAGUGCGGGGGUCUAUUUAGGGAGGUGAUCAGAGCCCGGAUCAGGCCCCACAGAGUUGGCACCAAUCUCCAUCAUGUUCUUUUUAAGAGGGUUGGCAGCCCUGGAGUCUAUUUUUAAACCCAUGAGAAAGGUGCUGUGUGGAUUCCAAAAAGGGCCAACAUUAAACCCGAGAUCCCUGGAGGAGGGAGGGAAGGGGGGAGGCACAGCUGAACCUAGGAUUUUCUCUUCACACACACAGGGGUUCCCCUUAUUCCUGGGAUCAGAUAUUGACUGUCCUUCCAAAGGGAUCUCUUGGGUUACAGGCCCACUCUUUGGCAUGGCUUUGGUGGAAUUCGACUCCUAACGAGCUCGUGAGUUGGAAAGGGUUUUGCACACCGGGUCUCUUUUUCAGAAUUGAGAUUUUUUUAAAUCCCUCUACCCCCAGUGUGAAAACUCCAUGUGCUUUUGAUAUAUCCGGCAUCUCCCCCUUCUUCCUACUUUCAAAUCACAUGUUCUGGAACCCCCGCUCCCUCCUGCAUGCACUGCAGAGCCCACAGCCGAGAAUCUACAACAGGAAGAUCCAAGGAAAGUCUAAGUUCCCCACGGCCACGGUGCCCAGCUCCCCAGAAACCCAGUCCCGGUGCUGGAGAAGGAUGGGGAGUGGACCCAAGUGGCAAGCCUGCGGGGGACAGGAUUAUUUUCCCAAUAGUGAGAAAUAAACAGGCAUCCAAACGCCACUGUUUCCCAUCAAAUAACCAGAUGAAGCGAACAGAAUGUUUUAUGUACAAUAACAAAUUUCAGCUUCAGUAUCUGUGUCUCUUUUUGGAUAAGAAAUAGAACCAGAAUUCCUAAAGAACAAAAUGCCUUGAGAUUAAGCAAAUGCUUCUGCUGAAUAGUUCUGGGACCACCCAGGACCCCCUGGGCAGGGAAGUAGGAGACGAGGUCUCUUCUCAUCUCCGCUCAACUCAGAAUCCCCAAGCCUAGCACAGAAGCACCACUCAAUACAUGUUUCCUGAGCAGAACAUGAUGCAGUUUUGUGCCCCAUGUCAACCAGGUAGGAGCUCCCACCAGUCAUGCUGAAAACAACAGACAUGAGUUUAAGCACAAUGCUGGCCGCACAACAGAGGCUCCAUAAACGUUAGCUGGAUUGGAAUCCAGUCAACUCAGAUUUCUAAAUGAAUCAGAUGUUCGGGGCUAGUUGACUAAAUUGUCAAUGUCCCCACGUGCUAUUAUAGCCCCUGUAGAAACAGCCUGGGGACCACUGUCCUCUUCUGGGCAGGGAAGUUUCAGGUGCUUCCCAUCCCAGGGCCAGGGCCGUGCUGCAGAAAAAAGCCUCCACACCCCAACCUGCCCUGCCCAUCCUUUCCCCACAAUCUCCAUUAGUCCUAAAUUGCCAGUCCAAGCCCAAGAGAGCAAUUGUUUCCUCAGUCCCAAGGCAGCGAAGCAGACAGCUCUUCAAUAGUUCACAUCUUUCUGCUGAGGGUGGGAAGAUAUUGGGGUGUCUUGUGGGUGCCUAAAUAGAAUUCCAAGUGCACCCGCAUCACCAAGCACCCUGGCCCACGCCGCAGAGCAUGCCACAUUUCCCCACUGCGCAAGGAAUGGGCUGCAUUUAGAAUUGACACUUCAGAACAUAUUGUGGACUGGGGAGCCGAGACUAGAGUGGAAUUACACACAUUUUGGAAAAUGUGGAUGAGCGGCACUGCCAGAAUGGGCCCAUUUACUAAACUACCUCCAGUGUUUCCAAACAUUAGGGAAACCUUCCUCUGCGGCCUGCUGGUAUGCGAGGAGGAGGAGCACAUACUGGAGAAAAUGCAAAAUCAAAAUCAUUGGGAAGGUGCUAAUAGGGAAAAUAGGGACUCUUCUUUUUUUUUUCAAGUUGCCAAACAGGCUUAAGUACUGGCAGUGAACCCCAUGGCUCCAGAGUUUCUGAAGGAUGCCCAGGCGUUGGACAGCCCUGCAUGGCACGCUCUUCCUCAGCAAUGAAGAAAGAUUCCCACCCUUCCUUAGAAAUGCAACUUUGCCUGAUAUAAGCUGCCAUCUGGAGCAGGCGGGGCCGACCAGGGGGUACCCUGAGACUCCUCCUUUAUUUGAACAAUUUGCCCCAAGGGACAGAGCCAGGAUGGGUGGCCCAUUGCCAGCCAGAGAGACCUGCCCAAGAUUCCAGAGGGGCUUGUGACCCUGAAAUUUGGGGUCUGUGCCCCUGGAGUUUGUCCAGCCUCUGGAGCAAGGCUUCCCUUACAUGGAGAAGGUAGCCUUGAACCAUCCAUUGGGAACUAGGCCUGGAAGGCCCCGUCCACACCCUCUAGCCCAUGAUGAUUCACCGCAGAGACAAUGAGAUACAGAAGUGAGAGCAGGAAGGGGGAACUGAUUUGAAGAUAAUAAUAAUAAAGCUACAGUUAGCAGGGCAUGGUGGCUUAUGCCUGUAAUCCCAGCACUUUGGGAGGUUGAGGCAAGAAUAUCACUUGAGGCCAGGAAUUUGAGACCAGCCUGGGCAACAUAGCAAGAUCUCUGUUUCUCCAUACACACAAAAAAUUAAAAUUAGCCAUACAUGGUGGUGCGCACCUGUAGUCCCAGCUACCCGGGAGGCUGAGGUGGGAGAAUCGCUUGAGGCCAGAAGUUCAAGGCUGCAGUGAGCUAUGAUCCUGCCAUGGCACUCUAGCCUGGGCAAAAGAGUGAGACCUUAUUUCUAAUAAUAACAAUAAUAAUAGCUACAAUGUGUGAGCCAGGUAUUGUUCAAAGCAUGUUAGAUGUUAACACAUUUAACCCUCAAAACCACCCUACGAGUUAACAGCUAUUAUUAUUCCCAUUUGACAGAAGCAGCUAAGGCACAAAAACAUUAAGUCAUUUGUCCAAAGUCCUCCAGGAGUAACAUGAUGCCUGAUGCCUGGGGUGGUGCAUGAAACACAGUAAAGGGGCUGGCCCUGGGCUUUGCACCAUUCUGCAACCUAAGGUAUUUUUAGGGUAGAGGGGAAAACUGAAAUUCAAUAUUCUCCAGUAAGAGUUGCUCAGUCUUGGAAAUUUAGGUGCAACCGGGGCAUCUUUAAUAAUGUGGCCAUUCUCUCUAUUCAGAAAAAAUGCCAGCCACCAAUCACUAUCACAUUCAAUGCAGAAAUGUGAGGUAUCUGUUUCCAUGAACUAGGCCCUCCAGGGUUUAAUGAGCGGGGAUCUGUCCUUUCCAAGAGCCAUGGAGAAAUGGGGAGGCCUUGAAUCAAUAAUCCCAGUCCACUCCAAUCGAGUUCUCUAGAAUUACAACAGUAACAUCGUCAUGUAACCUCCAUUGCACACUUCUGAACCAAGAGAAAGAAGCUCCAGGGAGCUGGUGCUACGUCUUCCCGGCUGGCCCACAAUGAUCCUAGACUCCAAGAAAGGAUAAUGAGGUAGACCAAGCCCAGGGGACCCUCUGCUGUGAAACCCACUUCUUCGCCUUCAUUGGGGCCCUGCUGAUAAGGGGUGGCUUCCACUGGCUAAAUGCUGACUGCAGAGGUUUCCUCUCUCUUCCCAGAGCCAAAACAUUGCAAUUAAACCCAAUUAAACUACUAACUGGCCUACCUAUGCCUCUUUAAUUUUUCCAUUUGUACAACUUAACAACAGGAAGACAGGAUCCUUCCUCCAAGAUGCACUUAAGCUCCUUUCAACGGGGUGCUUAGCAGCUACCACUCGAAAACACCUUGGCGUCAGCCCUCGACUUCCUAGUCCUGUUUUCUCUUUACUACCAAGGAAACAAGAGCAGGUGUCACACAUAAUACUUCACACAGGGCUCAUCGUAUUAUUUUAAUAAUUGAAGGGAACCAUUUUCUUUCUGUUUAAUCCUCUUAUGAAUUCUGGCUGGCUGCUCUUUCAGAUAUCUUUUCAUACAGUAUUUAUAUCACCCUUUUUGUAACUAUUUAAAUUUAAAAGGUGAGGAAAUAAGCUCUAAACUGUCAACCCUCAGCUGCAUUUCUUUCUACGUUGCUUAUCUGCAGAAAACUCUGCCCAUCCCAGGGGAAUCCUAAGGUAUGUCUCUAAUCUGGGUAUUUCUUAUCUGCACAAUAUUGAAGGGUGUCUAGGGGGCCCCCUCUUAAAGCCUUGGCUUCAUGUCUUUUUAAAGAAAUAUGGCUGGGUGCAGUGGCUCACACCUGUAAUCCCA
This 5791-nucleotide long non-coding RNA is filed under the name Homo sapiens (human). Its description in RNAcentral is "non-protein coding lnc-GPAT4-4:2". Lineage: Eukaryota; Metazoa; Chordata; Mammalia; Primates; Hominidae. The record is from RNAcentral.